Non-coding RNA from Caenorhabditis elegans, 21 nucleotides. The record is from Ensembl. NCBI's taxonomy places the organism in Eukaryota, Metazoa, Nematoda, Chromadorea, Rhabditida, Rhabditidae.
UUGUAUAGCCAAUAAAACGCA